CGUAGGUGGCAAGCGUUGUCCGGAUUUAUUGGGUUUAAAGGGUGCGUAGGCGGCCCUAUAAGUCAGUGCUGAAAUAUCCCGGCUUAACCGGGAGGGUGGCAUUGAUACUGUAGGGCUUGAGUGUAGUCGAGGUAGGCGGAAUUGACGGUGUAGCGGUGGAAUGCUUAGAUAUCGUCAAGAACACCGAUAGUGAAGACAGCUUACUAGGCUACAACUGACGCUGAGGCACGAAAGUGUGGGGGAUCAAACAGGAUUAGAUACCCUGGUAGUCCACACUGUAAACGUUGAUUACUCGCUGUUGGCGAUACACAGUCAGCGGCUUAGCGAAAGCGAUAAGUAAUCCACCUGGGGAGUACGCCGGCAACGGUG
RNAcentral lists this ribosomal RNA (369 nucleotides) under uncultured organism. RNAcentral's name for it is "bacterial SSU rRNA". It matches the Rfam family "Bacterial small subunit ribosomal RNA", at positions 526 to 896 of the family's 1533-position model. The record is from RNAcentral.